CCCUGACUUGGGUUUCUUCGUCUGAUGGGUUUCAGAGACCUAAUUUCUAGGGCUGGAGAAGGACCUUUUCCCUCCAGAUUUUCCCGAGGGCAGCUCCUUCUCUUCCUCCCCCGCGCCUGGGAGAAGCGGCACAUGACAGCACCUAGAAGCAUGUGGGAUCUUAUUAAUAGUCCCCCAACCAGGGAUCGGACCCAUGCCCCCUGCCGUGGAAGUGUGGAGUCUUAACCACUGAACCACCAGGAAAGGCCCUAUUUCUGCAUGUUCUGAUUUCAAAUUGAUUUCCUGUUAUCUCUAAAACCCCUCUGCCAGAUUACUUGUAAUUGCUAUUGUGAUUAGAAUCUGCUCUUUGUGAAGAAUCUUCUUACUCUUUGAA
Molecule: long non-coding RNA, 373 nt
Organism: Bubalus bubalis (water buffalo)
Lineage: Eukaryota; Metazoa; Chordata; Mammalia; Artiodactyla; Bovidae
Exons: 2
Source: RefSeq, a predicted model, not a curated record